CAAAGGAAUUGACGGGGACCCGCACAAGCGGUGGAUGAUGUGGAUUAAUUCGAUGCAACGCGAAGAACCUUACCUACCCUUGACAUGUCCGGAACUUGCCAGAGAUGGCUUGGUGCCCGAAAGGGAACCUAGACACAGGUGCUGCAUGGCUGUCGUCAGCUCGUGUCGUGAGAUGUUGGGUUAAGUCCCGCAACGAGCGCAACCCUUGUCAUUAAUUGCCAUCAUUCAGUUGGGCACUUUAAUGAGACUGCCGGUGACAAACCGGAGGAAGGUGGGGAUGACGUCAAGUCCUCAUGGCCCUUAUGGGUAGGGCUUCACACGUAAUACAAUGGUCGGUACAGAGGGUUGCCAACCCGCGAGGGGGAGCCAAUCCCAGAAAACCGAUCGUAGUCCGGAUUGUAGUCUGCAACUCGACUGCAUGAAGUCGGAAUCGCUAGUAAUCGCGGAUCAGCAUGUCGCGGUGAAUACGUUCCCGGGCCUU
This 481-nucleotide ribosomal RNA is filed under the name uncultured Azospira sp. RNAcentral describes it as "bacterial SSU rRNA". It matches the Rfam family "Bacterial small subunit ribosomal RNA", at positions 902 to 1382 of the family's 1533-position model. The record is from RNAcentral. Lineage: Bacteria; Pseudomonadati; Pseudomonadota; Betaproteobacteria; Rhodocyclales; Rhodocyclaceae.